AUCCCUUGUGCGCGUUCAAGUUCCGGUGGGAGCCGGAUGAAAAGGGAACACGGAACGGCCCCAAGCCGAAGCCGUGGCUGCCCCCGCAACUGUGAGCGGUGAGCGACAUCGACAUGCCACUGGGCAAUGCCCCGGGAAGGCCGAUGAAGCGACGACCCGUGAGCCAGGAGACCUGCUUGAGCGAUCACCCUUUC
Molecule: non-coding RNA, 194 nt
Filed under: Rhodobacter aestuarii
Lineage: Bacteria; Pseudomonadati; Pseudomonadota; Alphaproteobacteria; Rhodobacterales
Source: RNAcentral